UGUGGACUGCAUCAUGUGGUGUACUUCUCUGAAGGACAGUGUUCUGUCCGACACUGGAGUAGUGAUCAGAGCUGUGUUGUGAUGGGCCAGGUCCAGUAGAGCUGUGUUGUGAUGGGCCAGGUCUAGUAGAGCUGUGUUGUGAUGGGCCAGGUCCAGUAGAGCUGUGUUGUGAUGGGCCAGGUCCAGUAGAGCUGUGUUGUGAUGGGCCUGGUCUAGUAGAGCUGUGUUGUGAUGGGCCGGGUCUAGUAGAGCUGUGUUGUGAUGGGCCAGGUCUAGUAGAGCUGUGUUGUGAUGGGCCAGGUCCAGUAGAGCUGUGUUGUGAUGGGCCAGGUCCAGUAGAGCUGUGUUGUGAUGGGCCUGGUCUAGUAGAGCUGUGUUGUGAUGGGCCUGGUCUAGUAGAGCUGUGUUGUGAUGGGCCGGGUCUAGUAGAGCUGUGUUGUGAUGG
Molecule: long non-coding RNA, 445 nt
Filed under: Salmo salar (Atlantic salmon)
Lineage: Eukaryota; Metazoa; Chordata; Actinopteri; Salmoniformes; Salmonidae
Description: lncRNA (ENSSSAG00000092721.1)
Source: RNAcentral